Molecule: ribosomal RNA, 468 nt
Filed under: uncultured bacterium
Lineage: Bacteria
Description: partial 16S ribosomal RNA
Rfam family: Bacterial small subunit ribosomal RNA
Source: RNAcentral
GACGAACGCUGGCGGCGUGCUUAACACAUGCCAGUCGAGCGGAAAGGCCCUGCUUUUGUGGGGUGCUCGAGUGGCGAACGGGUGAGUAACACGUGAGUAGCCUGCCCUUGACUUUGGGAUAACUUCAGGAAACUGGGGCUAAUACCGGAUAGGAGCUCCUGCUGCAUGGUGGGGGUUGGAAAGUUUCGGCGGUUGGGGAUGGACUCGCGGCUUAUCAGCUUGUUGGUGGGGUAGUGGCUUACCAAGGCUUUGACGGGUAGCCGGCCUGAGAGGGUGACCGGCCACAUUGGGACUGAGAUACGGCCCAGACUCCUACGGGAGGCAGCAGUGGGGAAUAUUGCACAAUGGGCGGAAGCCUGAUGCAGCAACGCCGCGUGCGGGAUGACGGCCUUCGGGUUGUAAACCGCUUUCGCCUGUGACGAAGCGUGAGUGACGGUAAUGGGUAAAGAAGCACCGGCUAACUACGUG